GUAGGGUGCGAGCGUUGUCCGGAAUUACUGGGCGUAAAGAGCUCGUAGGCGGUUUGUCGCGUCGUCUGUGAAAUUCUGCAACUCAAUUGUAGGCGUGCAGGCGAUACGGGCAGACUUGAGUACUACAGGGGAGACUGGAAUUCCUGGUGUAGCGGUGAAAUGCGCAGAUAUCAGGAGGAACACCGGUGGCGAAGGCGGGUCUCUGGGUGGUAACUGACGCUGAGGAGCGAAAGCGUGGGUAGCGAACAGGAUUAGAUACCCUGGUAGUCCACGCCGUAAACGGUGGGUACUAGGUGUGGGUUCCUUUUCACGGAAUCUGUGCCGUAGCUAACGCAUUAAGUACCCCGCCUGGGGAGUACGGCCGCAAGGCU
Molecule: ribosomal RNA, 371 nt
Filed under: uncultured Gordonia sp.
Lineage: Bacteria; Bacillati; Actinomycetota; Actinomycetes; Mycobacteriales; Gordoniaceae
Description: bacterial SSU rRNA
Rfam family: Bacterial small subunit ribosomal RNA
Source: RNAcentral